AAAAAUUGAAUCACAAGGAUCUAUUGUACGUAGCUUUACUCUAUAUUUCUGUAAGAGAUUAUAAUUGCAGCUCAAAUUUGUGACCUUCAGAUUACAUAUAACAACUUUACUGAUCACACCAAACCUCCCUUCAUGGGAACAGGUACUCCCAAUAGUUUUAUUUGCACUCUCCUUCAGCAUCUCAAGGUGCAGAUGACCAACACCAAUAUCAACAAACUCAUCAUGCAUUUCAUUCCACUCUAUGUUUGGGUCCCACAUUGCGUUGGUUUUUACAUUCGAGAUUUUAC
Molecule: long non-coding RNA, 287 nt
Filed under: Capsicum annuum
Lineage: Eukaryota; Viridiplantae; Streptophyta; Magnoliopsida; Solanales; Solanaceae
Description: long non-coding RNA (CANN_LNC022216)
Source: RNAcentral